AUUGAACGCUGGCGGAAUGCUUUACACAUGCAAGUCGAACGGCAGCACGGGGGCAACCCUGGUGGCGAGUGGCGAACGGGUGAGUAAUACAUCGGAACGUGCCCAGUCGUGGGGGAUAACUACGCGAAAGCGUAGCUAAUACCGCAUACGAACUCUGGUUGAAAGCGGGGGAUCGCAAGACCUCGCGCGAUUGGAGCGGCCGAUGGCAGAUUAGGUAGUAGGUGGGGUAAAGGCUCACCAAGCCGACGAUCUGUAGCUGGUCUGAGAGGACGACCAGCCACACUGGGACUGAGACACGGCCCAGACUCCUACGGGAGGCAGCAGUGGGGAAUUUUGGACAAUGGGCGCAAGCCUGAUCCAGCCAUUCCGCGUGCAGGAUGAAGGCCCUCGGGUUGUAAACUGCUUUUGUACGGAACGAAACGCGCCGGGCUAAUACCCUGGCGUAAUGACGGUACCGUAAGAAUAAGCACCGGCUAACUACGUGCCAGCCGCCGCGGUAA
This 500-nucleotide ribosomal RNA is filed under the name uncultured bacterium. RNAcentral describes it as "partial 16S ribosomal RNA". It matches the Rfam family "Bacterial small subunit ribosomal RNA", at positions 29 to 523 of the family's 1533-position model. The record is from RNAcentral.